GUCCCAGCCGUAAACGAUGGACACUAGGUGUUGGUGGUAUCAACCCCGCCAGUGCCGUAGCUAACGCAUUAAGUGUCCCGCCUGGGGAGUACGGCCGCAAGGCUAAAACUCAAAGGAAUUGACGGGGGCCCGCACAAGCAGCGGAGCGUGGGGUUUAAUUCGAUGCAACGCGAAAACCUUACCAGGGCUUGACAUGACCAGGAAGUCGGCGGAAACGUCGGUGCCUCGCAAGAGGCCUGGCCACAGGUGUUGCAUGGCUGUCGU
Molecule: ribosomal RNA, 264 nt
Filed under: uncultured bacterium
Lineage: Bacteria
Description: partial 16S ribosomal RNA
Rfam family: Bacterial small subunit ribosomal RNA
Source: RNAcentral